This 118-nucleotide ribosomal RNA is filed under the name Pteropus alecto (black flying fox). Lineage: Eukaryota; Metazoa; Chordata; Mammalia; Chiroptera; Pteropodidae. The record is from RNAcentral.
GUCUAUGUCCAUGCCACCCUGAACAAGCCCGAUCCCAUCUGAUCUCGGAAGCUAAGCAGGGUCGGGCCUGUUUAGUAAUUGGAUGAGAGACCACCUAGGAAGACCAGUGCUAUAGGCG